RNAcentral lists this ribosomal RNA (496 nucleotides) under uncultured bacterium. RNAcentral's name for it is "partial 16S ribosomal RNA". It matches the Rfam family "Bacterial small subunit ribosomal RNA", at positions 29 to 507 of the family's 1533-position model. The record is from RNAcentral.
AUGCACGCUGGCGGCGUGCCUAAUCCAUGCACGUCGAGCGAACAGACGAGGAGCUUGCUCCUCUGACGUUAGCGGCGGACGGGUGAGUAACACGUGGAUAACCUACCUAUAAGACUGGGAUAACUUCGGGAAACCGGAGCUAAUACCGGAUAAUAUAUUGAACCGCAUGGUUCAAUAGUGAAAGACGGUUUUGCUGUCACUUAUAGAUGGAUCCGCGCCGCAUUAGCUAGUUGGUAAGGUAACGGCUUACCAAGGCAACGAUGCGUAGCCGACCUGAGAGGGUGAUCGGCCACACUGGAACUGAGACACGGUCCAGACUCCUACGGGAGGCAGCAGUAGGGAAUCUUCCGCAAUGGGCGAAAGCCUGACGGAGCAACGCCGCGUGAGUGAUGAAGGUCUUCGGAUCGUAAAACUCUGUUAUUAGGGAAGAACAAAUGUGUAAGUAGCUAUGCACGUCUUGACGGUACCUAAUCAGAAAGCCACGGCUAACUACGUG